CUGGUACAGUUGGGUUCAGUCCGAGUUCCUGCAGUGCCAUUUCUAAUUGCUGUCCAUUUGGAAUCUUAUCUACUUCAUAAACUGUAGGCUUUGCUCCCAAGCUGUAUAUCAGUGUUUUAACGGUGUGGCAAAGGCAGCAAGUGCUUUUGCUGAAUAUCAUCAAUGGCUUGUUUACUGUUAAACUCUCUAUAGUUUCCAUUAUUAAUCGAGAUGAUGAGAUCUAAAAACCCGAAAAUAUGCUGAUUUUUAACGUGCAAAAAAAAGAAUGAGAAAUUGUGGGAAAAAAAAGAAAUUACUCUGAUAAGAUCAGCCCUUG
RNAcentral lists this long non-coding RNA (316 nucleotides) under Olea europaea subsp. europaea. The record is from RNAcentral. Lineage: Eukaryota; Viridiplantae; Streptophyta; Magnoliopsida; Lamiales; Oleaceae.